GACGAACGCUGGCGGCGUGCCUAAUACAUGCAAGUUGAGCGCUGAAGGUUGGUACUUGUACCAACUGGAUGAGCAGCGAACGGGUGAGUAACGCGUGGGGAAUCUGCCUUUGAGCGGGGGACAACAUUUGGAAACGAAUGCUAAUACCGCAUAAAAACUUUAAACACAAGUUUUAAGUUUGAAAGAUGCAAUUGCAUCACUCAAAGAUGAUCCCGCGUUGUAUUAGCUAGUUGGUGAGGUAAAGGCUCACCAAGGCGAUGAUACAUAGCCGACCUGAGAGGGUGAUCGGCCACAUUGGGACUGAGACACGGCCCAAACUCCUACGGGAGGCAGCAGUAGGGAAUCUUCGGCAAUGGACGAAAGUCUGACCGAGCAACGCCGCGUGAGUGAAGAAGGUUUUCGGAUCGUAAAAACUCUGUUGGUAGAGAAAGAAACGUUGGUGAGAAGUGGAAAAG
This 455-nucleotide ribosomal RNA is filed under the name Lactococcus lactis. RNAcentral describes it as "bacterial SSU rRNA". It matches the Rfam family "Bacterial small subunit ribosomal RNA", at positions 28 to 471 of the family's 1533-position model. Lineage: Bacteria; Bacillati; Bacillota; Bacilli; Lactobacillales; Streptococcaceae. The record is from RNAcentral.